AUAAUUGAGCCGAAAGGCUGCCGUGAUAUAACUAAAAUAUAACAUGUGAUACCAACUUAUACAUAAGACAUACGGGCCUAUAGGACCAAAAUAACCACUCGUAUACUAAACAUAGACCGACAAGGCCAUACAAUCCUUUACGUAUAUGACAUCUGUCUACAAGCCUCUAAGAAUACAUAAUUUCAAAAAGGUCGGGACAAAGUCCCGCCAUACCAAACAGUACACGUCUAAAUCAUACUAACCAAACAAGCAACUCCGAAACAAAUGGAGCGCAUCAACAUCUUCCGUUGAGCUGAUAGCCUACUUCAAGGGCUCUUGACCUAUCUAUCAGGACCUGCGGGCAUGAAACACAGUGUCCCCAGGCAAAAGGAUGUCAGUACAAAUAGUGUACCGAGUAUGUAAGGCACAUAAAUAAGUACGUAACAAACAUGGAAGAAAUACAGAGUAAAUGACUCAACUUGUAAGUCUGGAUAACUCUGUAAUUUAUGAAAUAAUUAUAGUGUCAUGCAUAUUCUUAUGAAUGUGAUGUCGUGCAUAGGUACAUGUUUCAUAAUAUCAUCAGGCCUCUAUGGGUAUCCCAUCAUAUCAGCUCAGCCACUAUGGGCAAAAUCAUCAACGUAUAUCAGCUGAUUAGGUGGUGGUGCGUAUAUAACGUCAUAACCUAUCCCAUAUCCCAUAUACAUAUAUAUAUAUAUAUGCAUAUAUAUACACGUAUAUAACGUCAUUUGGUCAUGGGUCAAUGUGCAUGUAUAAAUGCAUGAAAUACAUAUGAAAUACAUUUAUAAAAUCUCUCGAUACGUCAUAAGACCAUUAUGACUCUAAUUAAUAUCAUAAAAUAAACUUUACCAACUUACGUAUUUUUGAGACCCAUGAACAGAUGAUAAAAUAAUAUGACACAUGGGGAAUCAAGAACAUAAUUAUCUCUAGUAUUUCUAUGAAUAGAGUCGUUUAUGGAAGUUGUACAUUUGUUUGUUUCGUUCGUGUCAUAUAGAUCAUGCCAAAAAGAAAGAAGGGAGAGCAUUAACAUACCUGGAGUAGGGAAAAAUCCAUAUGAUAUUCUUGAAAAAGGUUACACCGUACUCCUUUAAAACCGCAAAAUUUUACAUUGCUAAGGUUCUAAUAAUUCUUGUUGGAAUUGCUAACGUUCUGAUAUGAAAUGUUGUAUUCCAAAUAUGAAGUGUUGCUAUUUGGAAAAUGAAUUCACGUUCCUAUGCUCCUUGGAUUAGAAUGUGACUGUAUCGUAAUGUUCUUGGCAAAAAUUUUCUAAGGGAUUAGAAAUGGAAUUGAGUUAGGGAAUUAUCCUUAACUUUAGGUGGCUCUCUUUAAUUAAUGUUUGGUGUCACAUUUCUUUCUAAGUGUGACACCUUGCAUCCUUUAGAACUUAGUCAUUAAAGGGAAAGGGGUUACUUGCCACGUUGGGGGAAGAGUUAAAUCUUAUCCCACUCUUUAAUUAAUUUUCCAAUAAUUAAUCAAUUGCCCACAUAAUUAAAAUUUAUCUCAAAUUACUUAAAAACUACUCACUUUUAACACCCUUUAUAUACCUUACUAUCUUGGUCAUGUGGUACCUUGUAUGGCACUAGUCCAUGAAUAUGGGGUAUUAUAGCUUGGACCGUAUUUUAUCCCCAAAUUGUCAAACUUCGACGGAACUCAUUUUCUUCAAUUUGCUUACCCUCUCACCUUCACGAAUUAACUUAUCACUUGUUCGAAAUAGCGUAAUACUUAUAAUCCCAAAAUAAAUCUCAUUCUUGAACUUAUGUCGAUUAACUUACGACAAAACCUUAACGUACGAAAAUACGGAAUGUAACAUCUCAUUUCUGAGCUUAUAUCAACUUACUUAUGGCGUACUUCCAUGUACAAAAACAUGGGGUGUAACAUGGAUGAUGAUGGAAAUUGGCUUGUUUUCCAGCUGAAAAUAAUAGCACAGUUACUGGCCAUUGAGAGUAAUCUCCAUCCAGGACGCCGGCGUGUGGUCCUGUGGUGGUGGGGUGGAGGUCAAAAUGAUUGGAGGUUUGGAGGCGUUUCCAUUUUUGGUUUUUUUUGCUUAACAUUUUUGGACUACUAUUAAAUGGGGGUUAUUGGGGGUAAUAAAGGGGAAUGGCUGGUGAUGGGAUUGGAUCGACGCCUAUGGUAGCUGCUUCGUAACCUAUGUCUAAUACACUGGUUUUGGGAUUAAAGGAAAAUCUAGUUAAGUUGAUGGCUAUUGUCAAAUCAGUUAAGAUUUUUUGAUUUCUCAAAGAUGGAACUUGAGUUUCCAUGGAAGGAUUUUGCACAGUGCAUGUUGGUAGGGGAGAUGUAGCACAGUAGGAUUCAUCAUUUGGGUCUACUAGGGUGUCUUUGGGUUUGGGGUCGGCGUGGGCCUCCGCCUGAGUUAUUGUCAGACUCCCCUCUAGGCCCUUUGGGCUUGUUGACUUUGUGCUUCUGGGGAAGGGGGUAGGUAUUUUGCCUUUGGGGUGUAGGAACCUCGUCAUUACUAGGUGUUGGGUCUCUCCCCUCUGGGCCCGCUUUUUUUUGUACUUGUAUUGGGCCGGUCCCAUAUGCGAUGGCUCUUGGUGGGUUGAUUCUUCAUGGCGGGUGAGAUGUCUUUUGUGCUUUGAGAUGGGCUGGUGUCUUGCACAGAGUUAGUCUUGGAAUUAUAGCGAAAGGUUUGGGUUUUAAGGAACUUACCGGAGAUGGCAUCAGGCAUUCGAACUUGGAUGUCGUCCAAUUGGUCGGAAAUUUUGCCUUUCCUAUUCAGGUUCAUUUAUUGGCGUUGUUGUGUGGGGUGUCCUUGUUUGCGUCUCCUGGGGAGGAUACAAUUUUCCAUUCCUCAUUUUCGUCUCUAUUUGCUUUAGUAUUGGAGCAACCUUGGUUGUCCUGUGCCGUUGGUGAGUUGUGCCGGUGGUGAGUUGGGCUUUUUCCUGUUUGAAUACCCUCUUAGGGUGUGACCUAGUCUUCCACAUCCUAUACAUAGGACAUUCUCACCUUCAUAGACAAUCACUUGCUUGUGAUCACCAAUGGUGACAGAUGUUGUGACUGGUGAUUUCAGUGGAACUUGGAUGCAGAUUCUCGUAUAUAUCCCCCUUAGUGUUGCUGAGGUCACGUAUCAAUCUUGAGAAGCUUCCCAAGCUUCCUGCCAACUUUUUCUAGAACUUCUUUGUCAUAGAAUUCGGUGGGCAACUGGGGAAGUCGUACCCAUAUCGUAGUGAAAGAUACGGUGGCUUCUUGUGGGAUAAAUUUUGGUUCCCACCGUCUGACAGAGAGGAAACUUCUGGAUACGAACCAUGGGCCUUGGUGUAUAGCCUUGAUCAAUUUUCUUCCUUACCAAACUUGAUUAUGAAGAAGUCUCAUCCUAGGUCAAUUAAUUUGGAUCGAGAAGAUGAUGUGGCAUACGCUGGCCAAAAAGUUUAAUGAUGACCGAGAAGCGUCAUGGCUCAUAUAAUCUAUUUUUGUCCUCUUGGGAGAGAAGGAUAGGGCCUAGAUUUUCCUUACCCUUUAGAUCAUAUUCUGACUUUUCAAGAUCCGAUACAAAGUAGUCUAUUUGUGAGGUGUCCUGUUUGUCAAGAAGCAUUUCUUAGUGUGUUUGGUUGGUAUCUUUCUCCAUGUGGUUUGUAUCCGGUAGUUUCGGUGGUAUGUUAGGUAUUUUGGUUGUGUUUUCCAUUAGGUUGGGUGUAGUGAAAGAUGAGAGUCUCUAUCUCUAUGCAAAUGUUCCUCCUCCAAGUUGUUUGGUUUAAUAGUUGGAAUAACCUAAUGAAGAUUUAAGUUAACAAUUAACCUGGACAAACGAAACUGGUAAACCUCAUCAUUUUUCAGAUUUUCUAGUUGUCUAUACUUAUUCUAUUGUUAUGUGUACAACAUGCUUUAACUUACUCAACUAGCCUCCAUGACAGGCCUAUCGAGUAAGUUAAUCACAUGAAGAGCACAACUACAAUUAAUUCAAAUGAGCAAGAGCUAGAGCAAAGGAUUCUGUUUGUUCUCUUGGGAGAGAAGGACUAGGCCUAGAUUUUCCUUGCCCUUUAGAUCAUAUUAUGACUUUUCAAGAUUCGAUACAAAGUAGUCUGUUUCUGAGGUUUCAUGUUUGUCAAGAAGCAUUUCUUUGAGGAGUGUGUUUGGUUGGUAUCUUCCUCCAUGUGGUUUGUAUCCGGUAGUUCUGAUUGUAUGUUAGGUAUUUUGGGUGUGUUGUCCAUUGGGUUGGGUGUAGUGAGAUAUGGGAGUCUCUCUCUCUGCAAAUGUUCCUCCUCCAAGUUGUUUGGUUUAAUAGUUGGAAUAACCUAAUAAAGAUUUAAGUUAACAAUUAACCUGGACAAAUAAAACUGGUAAACCUCGUCAUUUUUUAGAUUCUGGUUGUCUAUAUUUAUUCUAUUGUUAUUAUGUUUAUAACAUACUUGAACUUACUCAACUAGUCGCUAUGACAUGUAUAUCAAGUAAGUUAAUCACAUGGAGAGCAUAAUUACAAUUAAUUCAAAUGAGCAAGAGCUAGAGCAAAGGAUUCUGCUUUACAUGUUCCUGAUACAAUCAAAAUAUAUUCCAAUUCAUACAAACGAGUGGUUGUAGACUGAUUCUAAUCAAACCAUUGAGUGUCAUUAAAUCACACUUGGAUUUGACUUUUAUGAAGAUUGUACAUAAUAAUAUGCAGGUCUAACUCAUUCCAAUCAUAGACUAAGUUUCUAUAAAUAUCACUUUAACUCAAAACCAAUCAACAUACCAUGAUUAUAACUAUAGCAGCACAAUCAAUAAACACGGCUAAACAUAAUUCAUAGCAACAGCGAUUGAAAUCAAAGAGGAUAGAAUUUCAAUAUUUACAUAAAUGUAUAAAAUUCAACACUUAAGGUUUUUGGAAGAAUACCUAGAUGCAGACCAAAACUGCAGAAUCGACCACACAAGGUUUGAAAAAGCAAGCACUGAAACUCAGCAGCAAAUACAACAAUUGACCAGCAGUUUUAAGAGUUUAAACACUUUUAAAAUCCCAGAAAUCAACAAGCUAAUCGACUGAAUCCUCUUUUUUCUUUUUUUUGAAUUUUUCCUUGAGCUCAGAAUUUAAAAAGAACAAAGUUUUGUUUUUUUCAGUGCAUGCCUAAAUCAUUUUCUAGAAUUCAGUGUAAUCAGUGUGUGUUUUUCAAUGUAUUUGAGAGGAAAAUGCUGAGUAUUAAUGUGUGUCUGUGAGGGAGUGUGAGGUCUCUUAUAUAGAGUGUAGGAGUGUGGUCUUGUGAGGGAAAAUGAGGGAGGAAUGCAUAAGAUUCUGUCAGCUAAAAAAUAGGAGAUAAGGCAUCUUUUUAACCAAAAAUGGACAGUGGUGCUUCAGCUAAUCUUUUUCUAUUUCUUUUUACCCCCCAACUUCUAGAUUUUACUCUUAAAUCCUCAGACAAUAAAUCCUUCUUACUUCUUUCAAAUUCAAUCACAACAAGACAAUCAAUCAGACCUAAAAAUCAAGCAAAAUUGACAAUUGAACCAAUUAAUCAGUUAAUCUAACAAAUCAUGCAAUUAAACAAGUCAUGCAAAACUGAAACUAUGAAUCAAUUUUCAAAAUUUUUUUUUAAGAAGUGACAUACUUCGAGAAGAAUAGAAAAUCAAUUGAUCAGUGAGGAAAGAAAAGAGAUAAAUACCUAUUAACCUUUAAGAUAAACGAACAUAGAACCCCGACGAAAUCUCAAUAAACAAACACGGCUCCGACCAAAAAUAGAAUCUCCGAGAUACGACGCGAAAUUUACAUCAACUUAUAACUCUCAUCAAGAGCUUUAAUUUCGACCAUAAAUGGAUGGGGGAACAGUUGAGUAAUUAGAAGAGGGAAAGGGUGGCUAGGGUUUAGUUUUGAGAUCUGAAAAUUGACGAGUUUGAGGAGGAAUUGGAGGAAACUACAAAUGGAUUUGGACUAGGGGAGGUUUGGGGAUUGCAAGGUGAAGGUUUGAGGGGGAUUGGUGGAGUGCCGGCGACAGCAGUAGUUUAGAAAUUCUAUGGCGGCUAGGGUUUGGUUGGCUAGAGAGGAUGAGG
Molecule: long non-coding RNA, 5964 nt
Filed under: Nicotiana tabacum (common tobacco)
Lineage: Eukaryota; Viridiplantae; Streptophyta; Magnoliopsida; Solanales; Solanaceae
Description: long non-coding RNA (NTAB_LNC005085)
Source: RNAcentral